UUGACUAUAAUACACAAAAUUAUAAGUAAAUAAACAUGGCACCCCGAAUUACAAGCAAUUUCAAUCGAUAUAUUGGCACCACUGAUUUUUGUUUUAGAUUUUAUGACGAAACAUUUGGCUACACUGAAUGUAUAUAUAAUACCGACACAAGAUAUAGAUCAAAUACUGAGACGUAGCCAUAAUGGUUUCAGUCCAUCAGAAUGCGCUUGCGCUUAUUUACUUUUGGGAACGGUAAUGGCGAUGACUAUUUUUGACGCCAUUGUUUCAAAAACUUUUGUGAUCUGUGAAAGACAUCUCAAUAAUUUAUAGACGUAUUUAUUUCCUUAUCCACUCUAGUGCCCUAGGUCCGAGAAAAUGUUAGGUUAGGUGAAGUUGCCCUAAGUAGUCUAGGUCAGGUUGUCCUAGGUCCAAGAAAAUGUUAGGUGAAGUUGCCCUAAAGUUUUAUUUUUAAUAAUACAUAGAAACAAAUUUGAUAAUGUGGGUAUUUUCAUAUCCACUGGUCCAGGUCAAGUGGCGGUGUUUGUUUUUUAAUACUUAAAAACAAUUUGGUGAUAUGGGUAUUUUCACAUCCACUCAAAACUACUAUUUUGGGCUAAAGAAAGGAACGUGUGCAGCUUCACAAUGAAAACCGCAUUUAAAAUGAACAAGAAACACUCAACAACACAUAUCAGAAAGGUACAGUUAGGUAAAAUCGGCUACAUCUCGCGGUGCUAGCCUUGAUCGUCAGAUGGCGGCCGUUUGUUCAAUUAGAAAACAAAUAGUAGUCAUUAGUGUUUUGCGUCAACAGACUCGCUAAGUUACGCAGUUAAUCACUCAUUUCAUUCAAUCAAAAUAAGUAAUGGAAUAACUACAAUACAAAUUUAUGCUUACGUAAGCAAACAUGGUGAAUUGAACAAAUUUAUAAUCAGCGUUAGUACUUACAUACAGGGGGACCAAGUCAUAUGAGAAAUUUGUUGUAAACCCACUGCGGUGGCGUUCCUUAGUACAUUGGAAAGCACAUAGCGCGGCGCAAAUAUAAUAGCGCCAAAUUAUUUGAAAUUUCAAAAAAUAAACAACUUUCGCAUACAUUUUGCCUAUAUUUACUUUAUCCUUUCAAAUAGUUUUUAUUGCUUUAACGUUUUCGCACUAUUUGAAUUUGGAA
Molecule: long non-coding RNA, 1141 nt
Organism: Nicrophorus vespilloides
Lineage: Eukaryota; Metazoa; Arthropoda; Insecta; Coleoptera; Silphidae
Exons: 3
Source: RefSeq, a predicted model, not a curated record